UACCUACGGGAGGCAGCAGUCGGGAAUAUUGCGCAAUGGAGGAAACUCUGACGCAGUGACGCCGCGUAUAGGACGAAGGUCUUCGGAUUGUAAACUAUUGUCGUUAGGGAAGAGAAAGGACAGUACCUAAGGAGGAAGCUCCGGCUAACUACGUGCCAGCAGCCGCGGUAAUACGUAGGUGGCAAGCGUUAUCCGGAUUUACUGGGCGUAAAGGGCGUGUAGGCGGGAAAGCAAGUCAGAUGUGAAAACCAUGGGCUCAACCUGUGGCCUGCAUUUGAAACUGUUUUUCUUGAGUACUGGAGAGG
Molecule: ribosomal RNA, 305 nt
Filed under: uncultured bacterium
Lineage: Bacteria
Description: bacterial SSU rRNA
Rfam family: Bacterial small subunit ribosomal RNA
Source: RNAcentral